Molecule: ribosomal RNA, 740 nt
Filed under: uncultured bacterium
Lineage: Bacteria
Description: bacterial SSU rRNA
Rfam family: Bacterial small subunit ribosomal RNA
Source: RNAcentral
GUAGUCCUGGCUGUAAACGAUGUCGACUUGGAGGUUGUGCCCUUGAGGCGUGGCUUCCGGAGCUAACGCGUUAAGUCGACCGCCUGGGGAGUACGGCCGCAAGGUUAAAACUCAAAUGAAUUGACGGGGGCCCGCACAAGCGGUGGAGCAUGUGGUUUAAUUCGAUGCAACGCGAAGAACCUUACCUGGUCUUGACAUCCACGGAAGUUUUCAGAGAUGAGAAUGUGCCUUCGGGAACCGUGAGACAGGUGCUGCAUGGCUGUCGUCAGCUCGUGUUGUGAAAUGUUGGGUUAAGUCCCGCAACGAGCGCAACCCUUAUCCCUUGUUGCCAGCGGUCCGGCCGGGAACUCAAAGGAGACUGCCAGUGAUAAACUGGAGGAAGGUGGGGAUGACGUCAAGUCAUCAUGGCCCUUACGACCAGGGCUACACACGUGCUACAAUGGCGCAUACAAAGAGAAGCGACCUCGCGAGAGCAAGCGGACCUCAUAAAGUGCGUCGUAGUCCGGAUUGGAGUCUGCAACUCGACUCCAUGAAGUCGGAAUCGCUAGUAAUCGUGGAUCAGAAUGCCACGGUGAAUACGUUCCCGGGCCUUGUACACACCGCCCGUCACACCAUGGGAGUGGGUUGCAAAAGAAGUAGGUAGCUUAACCUUCGGGAGGGCGCUUACCACUUUGUGAUUCAUGACUGGGGUGAAGUCGUAACAAGGUAACCGUAGGGGAACCUGCGGCUGGAUCACCUCC